Molecule: ribosomal RNA, 450 nt
Filed under: Streptococcus mitis
Lineage: Bacteria; Bacillati; Bacillota; Bacilli; Lactobacillales; Streptococcaceae
Description: bacterial SSU rRNA
Rfam family: Bacterial small subunit ribosomal RNA
Source: RNAcentral
GACGAACGCUGGCGGCGUGCCUAAUACAUGCAAGUAGAACGCUGAAGGAGGAGCUUGCUUCUCUGGAUGAGUUGCGAACGGGUGAGUAACGCGUAGGUAACCUGCCUGGUAGCGGGGGAUAACUAUUGGAAACGAUAGCUAAUACCGCAUAACAGUAGAUGUUGCAUGACAUUUGCUUAAAAGGUGCAAUUGCAUCACUACCAGAUGGACCUGCGUUGUAUUAGCUAGUUGGUGGGGUAACGGCUCACCAAGGCGACGAUACAUAGCCGACCUGAGAGGGUGAUCGGCCACACUGGGACUGAGACACGGCCCAGACUCCUACGGGAGGCAGCAGUAGGGAAUCUUCGUGCAAUGGACGGAAGUUUGACCGAGCAACGCCGCGUGAGUGAAGAAGGUUUUCGGAUCGUAAAGCUCUGUUGUAAGAGAAGAACGGGUGUGAGAGUGGAAACG